UCCAUGAUGGUUACGUGCCCAAGUGGGGCUA
Molecule: small RNA, 31 nt
Filed under: Bombyx mori (domestic silkworm)
Lineage: Eukaryota; Metazoa; Arthropoda; Insecta; Lepidoptera; Bombycidae
Description: ovarian small RNA-2037
Source: RNAcentral